This is a long non-coding RNA of Octopus bimaculoides (California two-spot octopus), 457 nucleotides long. RefSeq lists it as uncharacterized. Lineage: Eukaryota; Metazoa; Mollusca; Cephalopoda; Octopoda; Octopodidae. The record is from RefSeq and is a predicted model, not a curated record.
CUUCCUGUACAACAUCAAGUAGGUAUGUUUUGAAAAGCGCGAAGUUUCUUACUCUUCUUCUUGAAACGGAUCCGCUGUCCUGAGCGCACGAAGUCACUGGACUGUGGUCAUGCUGGGGCACCGCCUUAAAGGGUUCAGUCGAGCAAAUCCACUCCAAAACUUAUUUUUGAGUUUGGUAUUAUUUUAUCAAGGCGGAGAGCUGACGGAAUCGUAAGUACGAUGAACCGAAUGUUCAGCGGCAUUUCUUCCGGCUGUUUACAUUCCGAGUUCAAAUCAUAUCAACAUAAACUUUGCCUUUCAGCCUUUCGGGGUCCAUAAAAUAAUGUGCCUGUCAGGUACACCUUUCUCAAUGUGAUCGGCUUGAAAAAUUGUUAAUACACUAGGAUAUAUUCCUACUUUUCUUAACAUGAAACCAAUGGUAGCCUUAAUCCAGAAAUAAAGAAAUUAUAUCCACCUA